This 207-nucleotide ribosomal RNA is filed under the name uncultured bacterium. Its description in RNAcentral is "partial 16S ribosomal RNA". It matches the Rfam family "Bacterial small subunit ribosomal RNA", at positions 568 to 774 of the family's 1533-position model. The record is from RNAcentral.
CUCGUAGGCGGUUCAGUAAGUCGGGUGUGAAAGCUCCGAGCUCAACUCGGAGACGCCACUCGAUACUGCCGUGACUAGAAUCCAGUAGGGGAGUGUGGAACUCCUGGUGUAGCGGUGAAAUGCGCAGACAUCAGGAAGAACACCAGCGGCGAAGGCGGCACUCUGGGCUGGUAUUGACGCUGAGGAGCGAAAGUGUGGUAGCAAACA